GGGUUGUGAGGUUAAGCGACUAAGCGUACACGGUGGAUGCCCUGGCAGUCAGAGGCGAUGAAGGACGUGCUAAUCUGCGAAAAGCGUCGGUAAGGUGAUAUGAACCGUUAUAGCCGGCGAUGUCCGAAUGGGGAAACCCAGUGCAAUUCGUUGCACUAUCGUUAACUGAAUACAUAGGUUAACGAGGCGAACCGGGGGAACUGAAACAUCUAAGUACCCCGAGGAAAAGAAAUCAACCGAGAUUCCCCCAGUAGCGGCGAGCGAACGGGGAGCAGCCCAGAGUCUGAAUCAGCUUGUGUGUUAGUGGAACGGUCUGGAAAGUCCGACGGUACAGGGUGAUAGUCCCGUACACCAAAAUGCACAGGUUGUGAACUCGAAGAGUAGGGCGGGACACGUGGUAUCCUGUCUGAAUAUGGGGGGACCAUCCUCCAAGGCUAAAUACUCCUGACUGACCGAUAGUGAACCAGUACCGUGAGGGAAAGGCGAAAAGAACCCCGGCGAGGGGAGUGAAAAAGAACCUGAAACCGUGUACGUACAAGCAGUGGGAGCACCUUCGGGUGUGACUGCGUACCUUUUGUAUAAUGGGUCAGCGACUUAUAUUCUGUAGCAAGGUUAACCGUAUAGGGGAGCCGCAGGGAAACCGAGUCUUAACUGGGCGUUAAGUUGCAGGGUAUAGACCCGAAACCCGGUGAUCUAGCCAUGGGCAGGUUGAAGGUUGGGUAACACUAACUGGAGGACCGAACCGACUAAUGUUGAAAAAUUAGCGGAUGACUUGUGGCUGGGGGUGAAAGGCCAAUCAAACCGGGAGAUAGCUGGUUCUCCCCGAAAGCUAUUUAGGUAGCGCCUCGUGAAUUCAUCUUCGGGGGUAGAGCACUGUUUCGGCUAGGGGGUCAUCCCGACUUACCAACCCGAUGCAAACUACGAAUACCGAAGAAUGUUAUCACGGGAGACACACGGCGGGUGCUAACGUCCGUCGUGAAGAGGGAAACAACCCAGACCGCCAGCUAAGGUCCCAAAGUCAUGGUUAAGUGGGAAACGAUGUGGGAAGGCACAGACAGCCAGGAUGUUGGCUUAGAAGCAGCCAUCAUUUAAAGAAAGCGUAAUAGCUCACUGGUCGAGUCGGCCUGCGCGGAAGAUGUAACGGGGCUAAACCAUGCACCGAAGCUGCGGCAGCGACACUAUGUGUUGUUGGGUAGGGGAGCGUUCUGUAAGCCUGCGAAGGUGGCCUGUGAGGGCUGCUGGAGGUAUCAGAAGUGCGAAUGCUGACAUAAGUAACGAUAAAGCGGGUGAAAAGCCCGCUCGCCGGAAGACCAAGGGUUCCUGUCCAACGUUAAUCGGGGCAGGGUGAGUCGACCCCUAAGGCGAGGCCGAAAGGCGUAGUCGAUGGGAAACAGGUUAAUAUUCCUGUACUUGGUGUUACUGCGAAGGGGGGACGGAGAAGGCUAUGUUAGCCGGGCGACGGUUGUCCCGGUUUAAGCAUGUAGGCGGAGGUUCCAGGUAAAUCCGGUACCUUUUAACGCUGAGGUGUGAUGACGAGGCACUACGGUGCUGAAGUAACAAAUGCCCUGCUUCCAGGAAAAGCCUCUAAGCAUCAGGUAACAUUGAAUCGUACCCCAAACCGACACAGGUGGUCAGGUAGAGAAUACCAAGGCGCUUGAGAGAACUCGGGUGAAGGAACUAGGCAAAAUGGUGCCGUAACUUCGGGAGAAGGCACGCUGGUGUGUAGGUGAAGUCCCUGCGGAUGGAGCUGAGACCAGUCGAAGAUACCAGCUGGCUGCAACUGUUUAUUAAAAACACAGCACUGUGCAAACACGAAAGUGGACGUAUACGGUGUGACGCCUGCCCGGUGCCGGAAGGUUAAUUGAUGGGGUUAUCCGUAAGGAGAAGCUCUUGAUCGAAGCCCCGGUAAACGGCGGCCGUAACUAUAACGGUCCUAAGGUAGCGAAAUUCCUUGUCGGGUAAGUUCCGACCUGCACGAAUGGCGUAAUGAUGGCCAGGCUGUCUCCACCCGAGACUCAGUGAAAUUGAACUCGCUGUGAAGAUGCAGUGUACCCGCGGCAAGACGGAAAGACCCCGUGAACCUUUACUAUAGCUUGACACUGAACAUUGAGCCUUGAUGUGUAGGAUAGGUGGGAGGCUUUGAAGCGUGGACGCCAGUCUGCGUGGAGCCAACCUUGAAAUACCACCCUUUAAUGUUUGAUGUUCUAACGUUGGCCCGUAAUCCGGGUUGCGGACAGUGUCUGGUGGGUAGUUUGACUGGGGCGGUCUCCUCCCAAAGAGUAACGGAGGAGCACGAAGGUUAGCUAAUCCUGGUCGGACAUCAGGAGGUUAGUGCAAUGGCAUAAGCUAGCUUGACUGCGAGCGUGACGGCGCGAGCAGGUGCGAAAGCAGGUCAUAGUGAUCCGGUGGUUCUGAAUGGAAGGGCCAUCGCUCAACGGAUAAAAGGUACUCCGGGGAUAACAGGCUGAUACCGCCCAAGAGUUCAUAUCGACGGCGGUGUUUGGCACCUCGAUGUCGGCUCAUCACAUCCUGGGGCUGAAGUAGGUCCCAAGGGUAUGGCUGUUCGCCAUUUAAAGUGGUACGCGAGCUGGGUUUAGAACGUCGUGAGACAGUUCGGUCCCUAUCUGCCGUGGGCGCUGGAGAAUUGAGGGGGGCUGCUCCUAGUACGAGAGGACCGGAGUGGACGCAUCACUGGUGUUCGGGUUGUCAUGCCAAUGGCACUGCCCGGUAGCUAAAUGCGGAAGAGAUAAGUGCUGAAAGCAUCUAAGCACGAAACUUGCCCCGAGAUGAGUUCUCCCUGAGACUUUAAGUCUCCUGAAGGAACGUUGAAGACGACGACGUUGAUAGGCCGGGUGUGUAAGCGCAGCGAUGCGUUGAGCUAACCGGUACUAAUGAACCGUGAGGCUUAACCUUACAACGCCGAAG
This 2925-nucleotide ribosomal RNA is filed under the name Klebsiella variicola. RNAcentral describes it as "bacterial LSU rRNA". It matches the Rfam family "Bacterial large subunit ribosomal RNA". The record is from RNAcentral. Lineage: Bacteria; Pseudomonadati; Pseudomonadota; Gammaproteobacteria; Enterobacterales; Enterobacteriaceae.